This 253-nucleotide ribosomal RNA is filed under the name uncultured bacterium. RNAcentral describes it as "partial 16S ribosomal RNA". It matches the Rfam family "Bacterial small subunit ribosomal RNA", at positions 524 to 776 of the family's 1533-position model. The record is from RNAcentral.
UACGGGGGGGGCAAGCGUUGUUCGGAAUUACUGGGCGUAAAGGGCUCGUAGGCGGCCAACUAAGUCAGACGUGAAAUCCCUCGGCUUAACCGGGGAACUGCAUCUGAUACUGGAUGGCUUGAGUUCGGGAGAGGGAUGCGGAAUUCCAGGUGUAGCGGUGAAAUGCGUAGAUAUCUGGAGGAACACCGGUGGCGAAGGCGACAUCCUGGACCAACACUGACGCUGAGGAGCGAAAGCCAGGGGAGCAAACGGG